Molecule: ribosomal RNA, 187 nt
Filed under: uncultured Rhodocyclales bacterium
Lineage: Bacteria; Pseudomonadati; Pseudomonadota; Betaproteobacteria; Rhodocyclales
Description: partial 16S ribosomal RNA
Rfam family: Bacterial small subunit ribosomal RNA
Source: RNAcentral
ACCCGAAAGGGUGGCUAAUACCGCAUAAAUUCUGAGGAAGAAAGCUGGGGACCUAGGAAUAGGCCUAGCGCUUUUUGAGCGGCCGAUGUCGGAUUAGCUAGUUGGUGAGGUAAAGGCUCACCAAGGCGAAGAUCUGUAGCGGGUCUGAGAGGAUGAUCCGCCACACUGGGACUGAGACACGGCCCAG